GGUCAGGGAAAGAAGGUGCUGAGAGGCCAAGCGAAGAGAGGAGACCCGUCGUCCGUCUCCAGCCGCAUCUCCUGCCGCUCCGCCUGGAUCCCUGUCGCUCCUGAUACACAGCGGUCUUCCGCCCAAGGCCCCGCACAGCUGGGGAGUUUUCCAGACCCGGGGAUCCUGCAGAGCCAUGGAUAUACCUCCGUAAAAUCAGGUAAAACAAGGGAUGCCAGAAAGUCCAGCUUCUACCACAUCUUUGGCUUCUUCCUGGAAUAUAUCUUAGAAGAGAAUAAAGUUGGAGAGAAGGAUGUCCCCAUGUUAACAAAACAUGAACUGUUACAUUGGCAAUUUAUAAUAGCUAACAUUUAUUGAGCACUUAAUAUGCACCAGGCAUUGUUCUAAAUGCUUUACAUGAAUUAACAUGUUUAAUUCUUAUCAAGGGAAAAUUGUUAUUACCCUCAUUUUACACAUGGUAGAAGUGAGGCCCAUCACUGGAAAGAAGGCAGCAAAGUCCGGAGCUGUCAUCAUCUCUGUCCAUCAGCCACAGGCCCAGGUGCUGAAGUGGGGCAGUAGCUGCCACACCCACAGCAAUUCAGUUCAGUGUCCUAGGUUUCUCUGGGCUCCUGCUCCAGGUAUCACAAGCAAAUACAAAGUGGAGGUUUUACAGAAGGAAAUGUGAAAAGAAAACACACAAAAAGCACAAAAAUAAAAAUAUUGGCAGAAAA
Long non-coding RNA from Galeopterus variegatus (Sunda flying lemur), 710 nucleotides. RefSeq lists it as uncharacterized. The transcript has 2 exons. Lineage: Eukaryota; Metazoa; Chordata; Mammalia; Dermoptera; Cynocephalidae. The record is from RefSeq and is a predicted model, not a curated record.